UAGAGAAAAUUUUUUGUAAAGAAAGGUGCUAAAAACUAUUUGGCAAGUUUUCUGAACUUGUCACUUUUUUCCACUUUUGAACCGAACAACCUGUGUACCAUAAAAUAAUAUCAUACUGUUCUUUUUUGUUUUUAUCAAUCCCAGUCCCACAAGCACAAAUGGGUUGGAAAUUGUAAAAGAAAGAUAAUGAACGACGUUUCUGGUUCAUUUUAAGGUUACAACGAACAUUUCAAAAUUACACUGAUUAAGUCGUUUAAAAAUAUCACCAUUGCUUUCUAUAAAUUUUUUAUGAUACCUAUGUAGGUACCUACUUUUUUUCGGCUGCGUUUUUACUUUUUAGUGAAGUUGUUACACGAGUACUUACCUAACCAACUGGUACCUACCAAUAUAAUUUCAGCCCAUGAGAAUAAUACCAGUACGUGUACCUAUUUCACUACAUCUUGGAUGAUAUUUUCCGUAUUAUGAAUACGACGUUGCAAAAAACAUGAAGCCAUAUUUGUUUUUGUUUUUGUUCGCUGUACUGUUGGUUGUUCUUGUACAACUUAUAGCAAUGUCAGAAUCUCACAAACCAGAUGCAGAAUGUGCUCAGCAUAUAUUGCAGGGAAAAAGCUGUCCAUGUUUGCAGGGUAGAUAAUUUAUCCGAUGGUAAAAAAUGUGUGUAUAUCUCGUAUUAACGCUAAUAUAAUAUUAAAAUAAUACUUUAAUAAGAA
Molecule: long non-coding RNA, 710 nt
Organism: Planococcus citri (citrus mealybug)
Lineage: Eukaryota; Metazoa; Arthropoda; Insecta; Hemiptera; Pseudococcidae
Exons: 2
Source: RefSeq, a predicted model, not a curated record